This 694-nucleotide ribosomal RNA is filed under the name uncultured soil bacterium. RNAcentral's name for it is "bacterial SSU rRNA". It matches the Rfam family "Bacterial small subunit ribosomal RNA", at positions 30 to 772 of the family's 1533-position model. The record is from RNAcentral.
CGAACGCUGGCGGCAGGCCUAACACAUGCAAGUCGAACGCCCCGCAAGGGGAGUGGCAGACGGGUGAGUAACGCGUGGGAACGUACCCUUCGGUUCGGAAUAACCCGGGGAAACUCGGGCUAAUACCGGAUACGUCCGCAAGGAGAAAGAUUUAUCGCCGAAGGAUCGGCCCGCGUCGGAUUAGCUAGUUGGUGAGGUAACGGCCCACCAAGGCGACGAUCCGUAGCUGGUCUGAGAGGAUGAUCAGCCACACUGGGACUGAGACACGGCCCAGACUCCUACGGGAGGCAGCAGUGGGGAAUAUUGGACAAUGGGCGAAAGCCUGAUCCAGCCAUGCCGCGUGAGUGAAGAAGGCCUUAGGGUUGUAAAGCUCUUUCAGCGGGGAAGAUAAUGACGGUACCCGCAGAAGAAGUCCCGGCUAACCUCGUGCCAGCAGCCGCGGUAAUACGAAGGGGACUAGCGUUGUUCGGAUUUACUGGGCGUAAAGCGCGCGUAGGCGGAUCGCUAAGUCAGGGGUGAAAUCCCAGGGCUCAACCCUGGAACUGCCUUUGAUACUGACGAUCUGGAGAUCGGGAGAGGUUGGUGGAAUUCCGAGUGUAGAGGUGAAAUUCGUAGAUAUUCGGAGGAACACCAGAAGCGAAGGCGGCCAACUGGCCCGAUACUGACGCUGAGGCGCGAAAGCGUGGGGAGCAAA